This 301-nucleotide ribosomal RNA is filed under the name uncultured bacterium. RNAcentral describes it as "partial 16S ribosomal RNA". It matches the Rfam family "Bacterial small subunit ribosomal RNA", at positions 509 to 807 of the family's 1533-position model. The record is from RNAcentral.
CAGCAGCCACGGGAAAACGGAGGGAGCUAGCGUUAUUCGGAAUUACUAGGCGUAAAGUGCACGUAGGCGGCUUUGUAAGUUAGAGGUGAAAGCCUGGAGCUCAACUCCAGAAUUGCCUUUAAGACUGCAUCGCUUGAAUCCAGGAGAGGUGAGUGGAAUUCCGAGUGUAGAGGUGAAAUUCGUAGAUAUUCGGAAGAACACCAGUGGCGAAGGCGGCUCACUGGACUGGUAUUGACGCUGAGGUGCGAAAGCGUGGGGAGCAAACAGGAUUAGAUACCCCCGUAGUCCCUGUCUCUUAUAC